AUGGCCGUUUCCUCUUGUUUCCCGUUGGCUGCUCGCUGCAGCCUCCUGCUCACGGCAGCGCUGGUCCUAGCGCUGAGCCAUGGAGCCAAUGGUCAUGUCGGUGCCGGUGCUAGGUUGAGCUCGUCCUUUUACGAUGACUCGUGCCCCAGUGCACAUGACAUUGUCCGGCGCGUCAUCCAGAAUGCCCGUGUCGCCGACGCACGCAUCCCAGCCAGCCUCAUCCGCCUCCACUUCCACGACUGCUUUGUUCAGGGCUGUGAUGGCUCACUUUUGCUGGACAACGACCUCCCGGCGAUCAUGACCGAGAAGGAGGUCCCUGCCAACAACAGGUCAGCGCGCGGGUUUGAUGUGGUUGACGACAUCAAGCAUGCACUGGAGAAUGCGUGCCCCGGCAUCGUGUCUUGUGCCGACAUUCUCGCCCUCGCCUCCGAGAUCUCAGUCGAGCUAGCUGGAGGGCCUCGCUGGAGUGUGCCGUUGGGCCGCCGUGAUGGCACGACCACCAAUGUUGAGAGCGCCAACAAUCUCCCAAGCCCCUUCGACUCUCUGCAGAUGCUCCAGGAGAAGUUCAGAAACUUGGGCCUCGACGACACUGACCUUGUCGCCCUCCAAGGAGCGCACACCUUUGGGCGGGCACAAUGCCAAUUCACACAGCAGAACUGCAGUGCCGGGCAGGACGGGGAGACGCUGGUGAACCUCGACACAGUUACCCCUGAUGUCUUCGACAACAAGUACUAUGGCAACCUCUUGCACGGCCGCGCCCCUCUCCCUUCAGACCAGGUAAUGUUGUCCGACCCUGUCGCCGCCACGACCACCGCGCCGAUCGUUCACAGGUUCUCCGGUAACCAGAAGGACUUCUUCAAGAAUUUCGCAGCCUCGAUGGUCAAAAUGGGGAACAUAAGCCCGAUGACUGGAAGGGCUGGGGAGAUUAGGAACAUCUGUCGGAGGGUGAACAAAAAACCCUAUUGA
This 966-nucleotide ribosomal RNA is filed under the name Triticum aestivum (bread wheat). RNAcentral describes it as "partial small subunit ribosomal RNA". Lineage: Eukaryota; Viridiplantae; Streptophyta; Magnoliopsida; Poales; Poaceae. The record is from RNAcentral.